This 4104-nucleotide long non-coding RNA is filed under the name Sus scrofa (pig). Its description in RNAcentral is "lncRNA (ENSSSCG00000059926.1)". The record is from RNAcentral. Lineage: Eukaryota; Metazoa; Chordata; Mammalia; Artiodactyla; Suidae.
CUGUAAUUUAUUACAGAAAAUACCAGUUUGAUGGUGGACAGCUUUUUUACCCCUCUUUCACUAAGGAAGCCAAAUCGAGUAGGGGGAAAAAAAGUUAUUUUCAGCCCUUCCUUUUCUCCCUUUGUUAACAGUUUUAAGUGCGUUUUGACCUUAUCUUGAUGGAAAAUGGUUAACUCCAUAACAAAAGACUCUACUGGGGAGUGUAGGUGAAAAAACAAAAAAACAAAACAAAAAAAAAAAACCUUGUAACUGUAUUGAAAAUAAAUUCCAUUAAGCUGUGAUCAGUUAAAAUAUUAAAUAAUAAUCAGCACAAAGGGCGCUAAAAGGGAAAACACUUUUUAGUAAUUUUUAAAGUUUGGGGCUUUUUUCUCUGGUUAGGUAUUAGAUUUUGAUUUAAAAAAAAUGAAAUUCUCACUACCAGAAAAUUAUGGUUCAGCAUCGUAUUAGCAUUGCAAUCAGUAGUUAAGGUUUUAGGAAAUAUGCUUUAUAUUGUCUUUUCAAACACUUGUGAUUGUUUCAUUUUCAAUGUUUUUGCAAGAUAAAUGAUGGCUUAUAAUGGGCAUAUUUAUUUGCCUGUAUUUCAUUUCCCCCAAUGAAUGUCACAAGGAGAUGGGCAAGGAGCCCCUUCGGGGUGCAUCACACCGCCGGUUUCUGAGGUGUGGGAACUGGCCUUUAGUGAAGCAAUCCAGGCAUAUAGCCAAUGGUAAAGGGAGGAAAUGAAUUUUCAGAUUCUUAUUACCAAGUGGGUAAGGUCAGGAGCUAGAGUUCAGGGGAUGUGUCUAUAGCACCUCUAACUCUUUUAGGUUUACUAAGAUGAAAGUUACCACUGAACCUUACCACUAUGUAUAUAUGUUUAAUAUCUGUCUUUUGAAAUGCAGAAAUAGUUUAAAUGUUUCUUUGUCUAUUUUCCUUUUUUUUUAAUGCUACCCAGGGAAAUAUUUUCAUAUCAUUUUUAAGUGGCCUGCCUCAAUGUAUAUUUAUUUCUUUUAAAGCAAAAAGGUUCUGAAAACUGUUUUUCUGUAGCUUUAAAUGAGUAGGUGAGCAAAAUCUAUAUGGGAUGUAAUUUUUUUUUUGUUCAGUCUCUUUAAAAUACUUUGUUUUGGUACAUUUGGUUGUGCUUGUGGGGAAAAUAAAAACGCAGAGAUCCUUAUAUAUUUAUGUUAAAGUAAUAUUUUAUUAUCUACAUAAAACAGAAAUGCACAAUACCUUCAUAGUUUGUUCUAAUUAUUGAAAUAUCUUUAUUUUAUUUUAAAAAUAGUGCCAAGUUUUAAGGGGGGAAAAAUCCUAGACCUUAUACUGACUGAAUUGAGUUGUGUGUAAAAUACUCCCCUUCCUUUAUACUUCAUAAAGUUUUGGAAUAAAUUUUAUGCCUAUACUGCCAGGCUUCAUGUUUAUAACUUUCAGGGGCUUUUUUUGGUUUUUGUUAUUUAUGUUGUUGUUAAAAAGAGACUACUCUUCUGAUUCACUUUUCUUUGCAAAAACUAUCAGUCCCAAACCUUGCAGUCACUAUGCCUGUAGCAUUAAAUUGAAAUGGUCAUUGGGUUUGAGCUUCAAUUUGUUUGCCAUUUCAUGGUCUGACAAAGCGAUGUUUGUCCCCUGAAAUAUCUGCAGUGUUCCCUGCAUCUUCUCUCCAGGUUAGCUUUACCUUGUCUGAUUGUGCUUUUUUUGGAGAACAUCCAUAAAACUAGGGGACUCUAAUCUUUACCCAUAUGUCCUUGCAUCAUUUGGGACCUACAGAAGAGCAAGGUUUGUUAAGAGGAUUAUUCUUUUUUAAUAAUUAACAAAUAUCUUUCAGCAAAGAAUAAUUCUGACAAUAUGCACUAUGUGUGUUUGCCAAGUGGUUAGAAGUAGUUCCCAUAUAUUAUUCCUGUUAGGCUUACAGAAAAAGAUGGAUUUUGCAGUAGUUUAUACAAGAGUGUCUAUUUCUCAUGAGGCAAGCAGACAGAAUCUGAAACAAGAAAUGAAAAAAAAAAGAAAACGUAUGGGAGAGACCCCAACUGGGGUGCUAAUAAGAAAUUGUUUCAGAUAGUCUUGGAACAUUAUACUUAUCAGAUAAGUUUUAAGGUUAGUGAGACAUACAAGCAGUGUUGAGUUAGUUUACAAGUUUGCUGAUGUAUUUAAAGUCCUCUUUGGAACAGUGGUUUAAGUCUAAAUGUCCAUUUUGAAAGGUAGUUUCUGGGCUUAUUACAUCUGAUCAUCUAUUCUAACUCCUAGUCAAUAUUACACAGGUCUCAAACAGAUUCAGCCAAAUGAUCUUAUCAAUAGUCUGAACGAGAAGUGACAGAAAGAAGGAGUGUUUUGUGACCGCAGACAUGCUGAUGGGUAAAAUGUUUAAACUGGCUAUAGAUUUGAGUUCUGGGUCAAUAUCCCCCUCCAUUGUAGGCCAAAAACAAGCAGCAUCUGCCCUCUGCAGGGCAUUUGAGUGGACCUUGAGAAGGCGUUUUUGUUCUUAGCCACAGGGGCUACUGACUGGAAACCAUCCCGUGUUAAACAGACACACCAUGAUUUUGACCCACGCUGGCUGGUCAGAGCCUAGAGCUACCCUUGUACUUCUGAUAUGGGUUUGGGGGAGUGUAUCAAAUGCUAAGAUGAAAAACUCCCUCACUGCCCCUGGGAGAAAUUUGUGGGGUAUAUGUCAGCAUCCCUAAAAUGCUGACUAGCCACAGCAACACACCCUUUCAUUUCCCUAAAGACAAUAAUGCAGAAUAUGGCUCUCCUGAAAGAGCUCCUGUGUUUCCUCAAAAUAUGUCACUUUUAAAAUUGAUGGUGUAAGAUGGGGAAGAAAUGAUCACGUGGGAGAGUUAUGAGGUCAGAUGGAGGGAAUGGCCAUAAAUAAUAUUAUGCUUGGCACUUCGAAACAUUCUCGGUUCCCACGAAGUUACCUCCUUUAUACUUCAGAUGCAAACAACAAAAGCACUCUUCUUCCCCUCCCGCUCCUACUAGUGGGAGCCACGGCACUGGUUGGCAAUAUCUUCUGGUGAAAUGGCUUUAAUAAAGGCACUCAUCUUUCUAUCUUCUUAUUUCUCCAAAAGCAAACGAAUAAAGAGAUGCAACAGCAACAAUGGGGGGAAAAAAUGGCCUGUGAGUGCAUUGGUACCUGUGCAUGUGUGUCUGUAUGCUGCAUUCAUUUGCCUUUCAUUUGCCUUACUGUGGAAGUGGCUUGGAUAGUGCUGGGCUGCAGGGUGAGAGAAAUGAUUUUUUUUUUUUUAACCACUGGUCUCUGUUAUUUGUCUUUGUUGAUUUUUCAAUCAGUUUAUAGAACUCUGUUCUAGAUUCUAUUGAAUUCCUAGACAAGCUAAAGAAUGAGGUAAAGAACGGAACUUGUGCAGAAAAAGGAAGAAGGAUGAUGAAGUGAGGGUCAAAGGUAAAAGCGUUUCUUUGGGUCUGCUUGUGUAUUUCAGUGAGGCAAAAGGGACCGUGUUUAUUUAAAAGAAAAGAAAAAGAUGCAUCUUUAAGUACUGUGAAUGAAUCUUGACAAUAUGAUUAAAUGGGAUGUACAGCUAAAUUUUAUAUAAAUGUUUUCCCUCUUCAGGAAACUACUUUUCAGUGUUCUCUUAACAGGGGGCAGAUGGUUGUAUGAGAAAACCAGGGCCUCUGGUACCCAUUCCUAUCACUUGAUUCAAUACAGAAACUAAUGCAAAAGUGGCAGGAUCUUGUCACUUAGCUAAGCAAAUCAUGGAAUAAACUCGCUGAUCUUGUAGAACUUGGGCCAAAGUUGUUGCAAUGUCCCUUAUGUAGACCUGGGUACAGAAGUGCCAGAGAAUGGCCUUUUAGUUUUUUUUUUUAAAGCUUUGCUUAGUUAUGGAGAUAAAGAAAAAUAAGACUAUUUUUACAUUAUUCUUCUGUCUGGUGGGAAGCUAGGAAAUUUGUUUCCUCUUUUUUAAAAAAAAAAAGAAAAGAAAAAAGUUAACUUUAUCAUGUAGUACUUUCCCCUUACCCUAGUAACAAUUCUGCUUGGCUUAGCUAAUAGAGGUUUUAGAAACAAUAUCAUAUUCCAUCAAAACACCUCCGGCCUCUAUUGUUCCUAGAAUUCUGGCUGUUGAUAAUUAAGAUGUAUUUCCUUUUUUUAAAAUGUCUGAAAUGUUAUUUAAUACACCAGUAAAA